AGGGAAUAUUGGACAAUGGGCGAAAGCCUGAUCCAGCAAUACCACGUGGAUGAUGAAGGCGUUAUGCGUUGUAAAGUCCUUUUGUCGGGGAAGAUAAUGACGGUACCCGAAGAAUAAGUACCGACUAACUAUGUGCCAGCAGUCGCGGUAAUACAUAGGGUGCUAGCGUUGCUCGGAAUUACUGGGCGUAAAGAACAUGUAGGAGGAUUUUUAAGUCAAAUGUGCAAUCCCUGAGCUCAACUUAGGAACUGCAUUUGAUACUAUUGAUCUAGAGAUAAGUAGAGGACAACGGAAUUCUUAGUGGAGGGGUAAAAUCCGUAGAUAUUAAGAGGAACACCAGAGGCGAAAGCGGUUGUCUGGGCUUUUUCUGACUCUGAGAUGUGAAAGCGUGGGGAGCAAAC
RNAcentral lists this ribosomal RNA (401 nucleotides) under uncultured bacterium. RNAcentral's name for it is "bacterial SSU rRNA". It matches the Rfam family "Bacterial small subunit ribosomal RNA", at positions 356 to 773 of the family's 1533-position model. The record is from RNAcentral.